Molecule: ribosomal RNA, 347 nt
Filed under: uncultured bacterium
Lineage: Bacteria
Description: partial 16S ribosomal RNA
Rfam family: Bacterial small subunit ribosomal RNA
Source: RNAcentral
CCUACGGGUGGCAGCAGUCGAGAAUCAUUCACAAUGGGGGAAACCCUGAUGCUGCGACGCCGCGUGGGGGAAUGAAGGUCUUCGGAUUGUAAACUCCUGUCAUGUGGGAGUAAAUUAAAAAGCUAGUACCACAAGAGGAAGCGACGGCUAACUCUGUGCCAGCAGCCGCGGUAAUACAGAGGUCUCAAGCGUUGUUCGGAAUCACUGGGCGUAAAGUGUGCGUAGGCGGUUUCGGAAGUCGGGUGUGAAAGGCGCGGGCUCAACCCGCGGACGGCACAUGAUACUGCGAGACUAGAGUAAUGGAGGGGGAAGCGGAAUGCUCGGUGUAGCAGUGAAAUGCGUAGAUA